Molecule: unclassified non-coding RNA, 256 nt
Filed under: Hevea brasiliensis (rubber tree)
Lineage: Eukaryota; Viridiplantae; Streptophyta; Magnoliopsida; Malpighiales; Euphorbiaceae
Source: RNAcentral
UUGAAUUCGAAAUUUCACUUUUAACAGACUGUACUGACAAAAUUUGCUUGUCUGGGGAAGAUAUUAGACACAGCGAUAUAGGACAACAUGUGUUUCAUAAUACUUCUGCUUUUGUCUUAUAUUUCUUUAAUAUGAACAACAAUUCUUGUGUUGUUGUAAUUGUUGAUGACUCUACAGGUCUGUUAGAUUUUGAUACUGUAUCAUUUCAUGACCAAGCGUAGCUAGGUAACACACUCACACUCACACGUGAGAGAGA